RNAcentral lists this ribosomal RNA (481 nucleotides) under uncultured bacterium. RNAcentral describes it as "partial 16S ribosomal RNA". It matches the Rfam family "Bacterial small subunit ribosomal RNA", at positions 28 to 506 of the family's 1533-position model. The record is from RNAcentral.
GACGAACGCUGGCGGCGCGCUUAACACAUGCAAGUCGAGCGAUGAAAUCUUAACAGAACCCUUCGGGGUGAAGAUAAGACGGAUUAGCGGCGGACGGGUGAGUAACACGUGAGUAACCUGCCUUUUACACAGGGAUAGCCUCAGGAAACCGGGAUUAAAACCUGAUGAAACUAUCAAAUCACAUGAUUAAGAAAGUUAAAACUCCGGUGGUAAAAGAUGGACUCGCGUCCCAUUAGCUAGUUGGUGAAGGUAACGGCCCACCAAGGCAACGAUGGGUAGCCGGCCUGAGAGGGUGAACGGCCACAUUGGAACUGAGAAACGGUCCAAACUCCUACGGGAGGCAGCAGUGGGGAAUAUUGCACAAUGGGGGAAACCCUGAUGCAGCGACGCCGCGUGAGCGAAGAAGGCCUUCGGGUCGUAAAGCUCUUUUAUAUGGGAAGAUAAUGACGGUACCAUAAGAAAAAGCCCCGGCGAACUACGU